This 546-nucleotide ribosomal RNA is filed under the name uncultured Glomus. RNAcentral's name for it is "SSU rRNA". It matches the Rfam family "Eukaryotic small subunit ribosomal RNA", at positions 548 to 1098 of the family's 1831-position model. The record is from RNAcentral. Lineage: Eukaryota; Fungi; Glomeromycota; Glomeromycetes; Glomerales; Glomeraceae.
UUGGAGGGCAAGUCUGGUGCCAACAGCCGCGGUAAUUCCAGCUCCAAUAGCGUAUAUUAAAGUUGUUGCAGUUAAAAAGCUCGUAGUUGAAUUUCGGGAUUAGUACGUUGGUCGUGCCUUAGGUACGUACUGGUGUUACUGGUUCCUACCUUCUGACGAACCAUCAUGUCAUUAAUUUGGUGUGGUGGGGAAUCAGGACUGUUACUUUGAAAAAAUUAGAGUGUUUAAAGCAGGCUCGCGCUUGAAUACAUUAGCAUGGAAUAAUGAAAUAGGACGUUGAUCCUAUUUUGUUGGUUUCUAGGAUUGACGUAAUGAUUAAUAGGGAUAGUUGGGGGCAUUAGUAUUCAAUUGUCAGAGGUGAAAUUCUCGGAUUUAUUGAAGACUAACUACUGCGAAAGCAUUUGCCAAGGAUGUUUUCAUUAAUCAAGAACGAAAGUUAGGGGAUCGAAGACGAUCAGAUACCGUCGUAGUCUUAACCAUAAACUAUGCCGACUAGGGAUCGGAUGAUGUUAUUCUUAAUGACUCAUUCGGCACCUUACGGGAAAC